RNAcentral lists this ribosomal RNA (938 nucleotides) under Acinetobacter ursingii. RNAcentral describes it as "bacterial SSU rRNA". It matches the Rfam family "Bacterial small subunit ribosomal RNA", at positions 386 to 1304 of the family's 1533-position model. Lineage: Bacteria; Pseudomonadati; Pseudomonadota; Gammaproteobacteria; Moraxellales; Moraxellaceae. The record is from RNAcentral.
AGCCAUUGUCGCGGUGUGUGGAAGAAGGUCGUUAUGGGAUCGUAAAGCACUUUAAAGCGGAGGGAAGGAAGGGGUUACUGGUAUCAAUACUACCAGCUACUGGACGUUACUCGCAGACUAAGCACCGGCUUAACUCUGUGCCAGCAGCCGCCGGUAAUACAGAGGGUGCGAGCGUUAAUCGGAUUUACUGGGCGUAAAGCGUGCGUAGGCGGCUAAUUGAGUCGGAUGUGAAAUCCCCGAGCUUAACUUGGGACAUUGCAUUCGAUACUGGUUAGCUAGAGUGUGGGAGAGGAUGGUAGAAUUCCAGGUGUAGCGGUGAAAUGCGUAGAGAUCUGGAGGAAUACCGAUGGCGAAGGCAGCCAUCUGGCCUAACACUGACGCUGAGGUACGAAAGCAUGGGGAGCAAACAGGAUUAGAUACCCUGGUAGUCCAUGCCGUAAACGAUGUCUACUAGCCGUUGGUCUCUUUGAGGGAUUAGUGGCGCAGCUAACGCGAUAAGUAGACCGCCUGGGGAGUACGGUCGCAAGACUAAAACUCAAAUGAAUUGACGGGGGCCCGCACAAGCGGUGGAGCAUGUGGUUUAAUUCGAUGCAACGCGAAGAACCUUACCUGGUCUUGACAUAGUAAGAACUUUCCAGAGAUGGAUUGGUGCCUUCGGGAACUUACAUACAGGUGCUGCAUGGCUGUCGUCAGCUCGUGUCGUGAGAUGUUGGGUUAAGUCCCGCAACGAGCGCAACCCUUUUCCUUAUUUGCCAGCACUUUGGGUGGGAACUUUAAGGAUACUGCCAGUGACAAACUGGAGGAAGGCGGGGACGACGUCAAGUCAUCAUGGCCCUUACGACCAGGGCUACACACGUGCUACAAUGGUCGGUACAAAGGGUUGCUACCUAGCGAUAGGAUGCUAAUCUCAAAAAGCCGAUCGUAGUCCGGAUUGGAGU